Plutella xylostella (diamondback moth) is the source of this 1819-nucleotide long non-coding RNA. RefSeq lists it as uncharacterized. NCBI's taxonomy places the organism in Eukaryota, Metazoa, Arthropoda, Insecta, Lepidoptera, Plutellidae. The record is from RefSeq and is a predicted model, not a curated record.
AGUACCCUUAGCAGGAACAUUUCAUCGUUUCCGUAUUUCAUUACUACACGUUAACUUUGAACGUAUUGAAAUGGCAGCAUAAGCCUUCGUCGUGUGCCGGUCGUUACAACGUUACCAGAGUAAAAAUAAGGUUGUACCACACUGAGAUUGUUAAGUUCAAAACCUUCAUAAUAAUUUCAAAGUAAGCAGCGAUUCCUUACAAAAGCACUUUAACAAUUGUCUAUGGAUGAUAACUAUGAUUUGAACGCACAUCCUAACUUUUUUUUUGACAUUUGUCAUCUGUCAUCUGUCAAAUUAUCAAUCUAUUGACACUGACAGGUCGGCUUUCAUAAUUAUUUGUUAAAUAUGUUUAUUGUUUUAUUGAAUUCAACGCAGUGAUAUUUAUUUGCCUACGGAUACCAACGCCAAGGCCCACGGAUGGAGAGGUCGCCAGUGGUGCCUUAAUAAGUGGAAGGAACUAGCCAAGCUCAAUAGAGAAGGGACGGCACAAGGAGUGAUAAGCAAAGGAGAAAAUUAAACAUGAAACAUAACAUUAAACAUAAAAGGUUGUCAUGACAGAUUAUCCCCUCGUCUCUCAAUGAUUUCCUAAUACCUAGGUAUGGAGUGAUUAUAAGAAUAAUACAAAGAGAAAAUGCUCCCAAAUUGCCUAAGGGGGCACAGUGAAUGGUUGAUGGUUCAGCCCUAAAAUGGAUAUGUCAGAUUGAAAGCUGCCGGUGAAUGCUAUACAUUGUAUAAUUGAUGUGAUGAGAUAUAGAAUCAGCAUGGAAAAUGUGCCUGGUACGGGGAGCCAGCCCAAUCCAGCUAUACCAGCGUAUCCUGUACCCAGCAUCACGGACCAGGCCACCGCCUGCAAGUGCACCCCUGUGAAGGCAUAAAUUAUAAGUGUGCAUUUUGAUUGCUCGGUGAAGAAUACAUUUAGGAGAAAAGAUAAAUCAUACAUUUUGUUAUACUAUGCUGAUGUUUGCAAAUGUUACAUGUACUACCUACUAAGAUAAAUAUGUUUUUUUGUAAAAUAAAGAAUAAAAAACUGUUAAACAGAAUGUAAAUAUUUUAUUUAUUUUGUGGUAAUUUCAUUUAUCCAGAACUUUAUACCCAUUAGUAAGUGGGCCCAGAAAGUUGAUGAUUUAUCAUUAAUGAAGUCUAUUAAUCCUGCCUACCAAGAGACUUAUUACCUUUAGUUAGGUUAAGUGCCAAUUUCUCCGUAGUCGCUUUGAGCAUAACCAGGGAGUAGUGGUUGAUUUUUGACACAUCUUUCGUGAAUUUUAUAUGGAUAUGACUUAUAAUUAAUAAAUCAAUCCCUGUCAGUUAGAUAACCGACUAUGGAGAAAUUGGCACUAAAGUUUAUAGUCAAUAACUAACUGUCCUUAACUAUUCUAGAGAGGGUAGAGUUCAAACACAUCUAGACAGUAGCAAUAAUGGUAUUUAUUAAUACAAUUACACAUAACUACAGUUAGGUACAUUAGAAUUUUACGAAUUAUAGCUUACAAAGCAAAACGUGAGUAAGUAUAGGUGUUUGUGUACUGUGUUGCUACUUCUUACUGCUAUUGGUGCCAUGGAUGCCAUGGAUCUCAUCCGUCACGAUGGAUUCUCGGCACUUCCAGUCUAGAAGGUAUUCAUCACGAGCUUCAAUCACCACGUCAUCACGGUCAGACACGCCAAAAUCGAGGGCCACGUAAUGCAACAUACGGCACGCUGUACUUAAUAGAUUUUGCACACUGAACAGUUGUAUAAUGGUCUUGCUCCAAACAGCGCCAUCGAUUUUCAAUCACACACAUCACAACCCUACAUUUCCCAUGAAUUUUUGUAAAUUUUGCCUCUG